Molecule: transfer RNA, 64 nt
Filed under: Ranina ranina
Lineage: Eukaryota; Metazoa; Arthropoda; Malacostraca; Decapoda; Raninidae
Description: tRNA-Gly
Source: RNAcentral
GUUCUCUUAGUAUAUCGUAUAUUUGGCUUCCAACCAAAAGGUCUAACGAACGUUAGAGAGAAUA